RNAcentral lists this microRNA precursor (84 nucleotides) under Bombyx mori (domestic silkworm). RNAcentral describes it as "mir-2807 microRNA precursor family". It matches the Rfam family "mir-2807 microRNA precursor family". Lineage: Eukaryota; Metazoa; Arthropoda; Insecta; Lepidoptera; Bombycidae. The record is from Rfam by way of RNAcentral.
UUAACUCGAAUUUGUAUGGAGUUGGAACAGCGCCUCUAGCGGCAAACUUAGGCAAACAUUCCAACUGCAUACAAAUUUUAACUU